AUUUCAUGUAAACUCAUCUACUGCUGCCUAUUGCCUGACGCUACUAUAUUGGGUUUUUCCUGUCGUUCUAUCUCAGUGUUUCUAUUAUUUUUUUUCUGCUUCUUUUCUGGCUUUCUUUACUUCUUCAUCUAAUUUCGUUUUCUAGAGGUGAUGAUGACAAGUGUUACAAAAAAAAAAAAAAAAAAGGACUCUGAACUCCCUUUGGGCUAUGAAACUGCCUGCCUCUUCACCCGAUGAUGAAAAUGUUUUAAAUUGAUUCCUUUCCAUACUUAACACCUACCUAUUUUAA
This 289-nucleotide long non-coding RNA is filed under the name Ananas comosus (pineapple). RNAcentral describes it as "long non-coding RNA (ACOM_LNC032662)". The record is from RNAcentral. Lineage: Eukaryota; Viridiplantae; Streptophyta; Magnoliopsida; Poales; Bromeliaceae.